CAGUCGCCGCGGGAAUACCGAGGGUGCAAGCGUUAAUUGGAAUUACUGGGCGUAAAGCGCGCGUAGGUGGUUUGUUAAGUUGGAUGUGAAAGCCCCGGGCUCAACCUGGGAACUGCAUCCAAAACUGGCAAGCUAGAGUACGGUAGAGGGUGGUGGAAUUUCCUGUGUAGCGGUGAAAUGCGUAGAUAUAGGAAGGAACACCAGUGGCGAAGGCGACCACCUGGACUGAUACUGACACUGAGGUGCGAAAGCGUGGGGAGCAAACAGGAUUAGAUACCCCCGUAGUCCCUGUCUCUUAUAC
RNAcentral lists this ribosomal RNA (301 nucleotides) under uncultured bacterium. RNAcentral's name for it is "partial 16S ribosomal RNA". It matches the Rfam family "Bacterial small subunit ribosomal RNA", at positions 509 to 807 of the family's 1533-position model. The record is from RNAcentral.